UUACAAAGGAAGUUUGAAUGUUUCCAAGCUUAUACAAUAAGGAAGCGGUCUUUGUUCGAGGUUCCCUCGGGUACCUCAGGAGAGUCUUUGCUAGUGAACCAUUGCAGACAUAAAGUGGUGAGGUAAAAGAACAUCUUUUGCUGCCACCGCUUGAAGUCAAUGCCCAAAAAUUUUUCGGGCUUCUCUGCCGGUGCCAUUAUUGGCGGAGCAUUUAUGCGACUUGAUGUGGCAAUAUUAGUUGC
This 242-nucleotide long non-coding RNA is filed under the name Capsicum annuum. Its description in RNAcentral is "long non-coding RNA (CANN_LNC022035)". Lineage: Eukaryota; Viridiplantae; Streptophyta; Magnoliopsida; Solanales; Solanaceae. The record is from RNAcentral.